ACUACGGGAGGCAGCAGUGGGGAAUAUUGGGCAAUGGAGGAAACUCUGACCCAGCAAUGCCGCGUGAAUGAAGAAGGUCUUCGGAUUGUAAAGUUCUUUAGUCAGGGAAGAAUAAAAUGACGGUACGUGAAGACUACGCUCCGGCUGACUACGUGCCAGCAGCAGCAGUAAUACGUGGGGAGCAAGCGUUGUUCGGAAUGACUGGGCGUAAAGGGUGCGUAGGCGGUGAGACAAGUUAGAAGUGAAGUACCCAGGUCUUAACUCGGGUGCUGCUUCUAAAACUGUAAGACUUGAGUGCAGUAGAGGUUAGUGGAAUUCCUAGUGUAGCGGUGGAAGGCGUAGAUAGUAGGAGGAACACCAGAGGCGAAGGCGGCUAACUGGACUGCAACUGACGGUCAGGCAAGAAAGUGUGGGGAGCAAACAGGAUUAGAUACCCUUGUAGUC
Molecule: ribosomal RNA, 444 nt
Filed under: uncultured bacterium
Lineage: Bacteria
Description: partial 16S ribosomal RNA
Rfam family: Bacterial small subunit ribosomal RNA
Source: RNAcentral